This is an RNA transcript of Conger conger (European conger), 4220 nucleotides long. It is a transcript of the gene named impact RWD domain protein, with no coding region annotated. The record is from RefSeq and is a predicted model, not a curated record. The transcript has 2 exons. NCBI's taxonomy places the organism in Eukaryota, Metazoa, Chordata, Actinopteri, Anguilliformes, Congridae.
AGAUGCCAUGCCUCAUGUCAAGGGUCUUGACAUACUAAAUGACUGUGAGGAGAACCAGAAGCUCAUUCAUAAACUACCAGACUGGGUAGCUUCACGCUGGAACCGACAAGUCACACAAAGCCUGAACGAGAAAGAAGAAUUCCCAAGUUUCAAGGACUUUGCUAGAUUCACGACAACCGAAGCUGAGAUUGCCUGCAAUCCGAUUACGUCUCUUCAUGCCCUUCGGUCAUCAGACCCUAGCACUGAGAAGAGAAAUCUCAGAGACACGAAGAGAAACAAGGCCAGUGUGCUCCCCACUCAAACAGUCACCGAUAAAGGGAACCAAAGGUCAGAUCAGAGAAAAGCUAAAAAUCCAUGCAUUCUCUGUCAAGAUAAUAGACACCAGCUUCAUGCAUGUUCCAAGUUCACAGAGAUGUCGCUGGUUGAGCGACGGAACUAUGUGAAGGAGAAGAGACUCUGCUAUGGAUGCCUAAAACUUGGCCACAGUGCAAAAGACUGUCGUUAUCGUCACUUCUGUGACUCCUGCAAGGGAAAGCACCCUACAGCCCUCUAUGAUGACAGCUAUGGAAAGGAAAGUUCUUCAUCAGGAACAUGGGCAAAUCAAGGUGCUGCUGCAAUGUCACUCAGUGUAGCAGGCGCAGGCUCAUCCAAUACAUCAAUGGUGAUACCAGUGUGGGUGUCAUCCAAAAAUAAUCCAAAUGCUGAGAAACUUGUCUAUGCUCUACUUGACACUCAACGUGACACUACAUUCAUUGAUCAAGGAGUGAGCGACGGUCUUAAUGCCGACAAGUAUCCAGUUAAGCUGAAGUUGACUACCAUGAGUGGAAAGGACAUGGUUCUCACAAGUGAGAGAGUUUCUGGCCUUCGUGUAAGGGGAUACAGUUCUGCCAUUCAAGUUGACCUUCCGGUGGCAUACACGAAGGUCUGCGUACCAGUAAACCGUGCUCACAUUCCAGGCAGGUCAUUCUAGGAGGAGAUGAGGAACCCUAUGCUGUACGGACAGAUUUAGAGUAUUGUGGGGCGCUCAUCACAAAGCCAUGACUCGCUGAGCACAAGUCGUCUGUGUCACAGAAUCGCUGUUAAAGAGCUGCCUCCGGCAACUCCUGCCGAUGUUAUUCAUAUCUUAGAAUCUGACUUCAAGGAUGGCAGUGAAGACAGCAGAACAGUGUCACAAGACGACAUCACAUUUCUCAACAAGCUGGAUAUAGGCAUACGGAAAAAUAUACAUGGCCAUUACGAAAUGCCUCUGCCCUUCAAAACCAGACCCAGCUUGCCUGACAACAAAGGCUCAGCCAUGAUACGUCUCAAUCACCUCAAAAGGAAAUUGCAGCGUGACGAACGGUAUAAGGAGCAUUAUGUUGAGUUCAUGGAAGAGGUCAUCAAAAGGGGAGAUGCAGAGCAGAUCAACGACGGUGGGAGAGAAGGUGAGAGAUGGUACAUCCCCCAUCAUGGAGUUUACCAUGCAAAGAAGCCGGAGAAACUUUGUGUGGUGUUCGAUUGCUCGGCCAGAUACAAAGGAACCAGCCUGAAUGACCACCUCCUCUCUGGGCCCGACAUGCUGAACAACUUGAGUGGAGUUCUCAUCCGCUUUCGAAAGCACCCUGUUGCACUAAUGUGUGACAUUGAAAAAAUGUUCCAUCAGUUCCAUGUGGCUGACGCUGAUCGCAACUAUCUGCGCUUUCUUUGGUGGAAGCAAGGAGACUUGAACUCACCACCUACUGAGUUCCGUAUGAAGGUGCAUCUGUUUGGUGCAGCCUCCUCUCCUGGAUGCGCAAACUACGGGCUGAAGCAUCUGGCUAAGGAGCAUGACGACAUCUACCCUCAAGGCUCACGGUUUAUCAUGAGGGACUUCUACGUGGACGACGGGCUCACAAGUGUUGGAAGCACCGAAGAUGCUAUUCAGCUUGCCAGAGAAGCACGUGAACUCUGUGCCAUGGGUGGCCUCAGACUACAUAUGUUUGUGUCAAACGACAGAGAUGUCCUAGAGAGUAUACCACUCUCUGAACGGGCAACCUAUAUGAAGUGUAUGGACCUCACGUUUGAUGAUCUGCCACCAGAGAGAGCUCUAGGGAUUAAAUGGGACGUGGAGUCCGACCACUUCUGCCUUAACGUCAGCCUGAAGGAUCAGCCUGUAACACGCCAAGGCAUCCUGUCUACAGUGGCCUCUCUGUACGAUCCUCUAGGGUUUGUGGCGCCAGUCCUGCUUAAAGGCAAGAUCAUUCUCCAGGCCAUGUGUAGGCGCGGCACAGGUUGGGACGAUCCUCUCACAGACGAGCUUCGUCCAAAAUGGGAACAGUGGAGAGGCGACCUAGCUCAUUUGGAUAAUGUCACUAUAUCCUGCACUUACUCACCUGUUGGAUUUGGAAGGGUCUCAAAGACAGAGCUGCAUCAUUUUUCAGAUGCCAGCACAAAGGGUUAUGGUCAGUGUUCAUACGUGAGACUUCAAAAUGAAGAGGGAGAUGUUCAUUGCGCCCUAGUAGUAGGAAAAUCACGCGUCUCACCAACAAAGGUCACAACUAUUCCACGAUUGGAAUUGACAGCUGCAGUUGUUUCUGUGAAAAUGAGCAACAUGCUCAAAGAGGAGUUUGGAUCUACUGAUGCUGAGGAGUUCUUCUGGACCGACUCUAAAGUGGUUUUGGGAUAUAUAAAAAACGAAGCACGACGAUUCCACACCUUUGUGGCUAACCGUGUUCAAAGUAUUCAUCUCAGCUCCGCCCCUCAACGAUGGAGAUACGUCCCCAGCAACGAGAAUCCUGCUGACCACGCUUCUAGGGGCUUGACUCCCAGUGAGCUUCUUAGCUUUCUUGCAGAGAAACAAUGCGACUUCAGCAUGAACGCACCGUAUUCAAGUCAUGUCGGAGGGGUGUGGGAAAGACAGAUCAGAACAGUGAGAAGCAUCCUACGGUCCACCCUUAGCCUUUCCUCCGGUAGGCUAAAUGAUGCUUCGCUACGGGCUUUCCUCUAUGAAGCUAUGGCAAUUGUCAACAGUCGCCCACUGACCGUUACCAGCCUCAGUGAUCCCCAUAGCCUCGAGCCUCUCACACCUAAUCACCUUCUGACUAUGAAAUCUGCCAAGGCUCUACCCCCACCAGGAGAAUUUAGCAGAGAGGACAUGUAUGGCAAGAAAAGGUGGCGACAUGUUCAAUACCUGGCAGAACAGUUUUGGAGUCUUUUGGAGGCGAAAGGAAUACCUUGCCAGCAUCGCACUCAGACAGCGUUGGCACACCCCCAGAAGAAAUCUGCAAGUUGGAGAUAUUGUAAUGAUGAAGGGAGAUGAUGUGCACAGGAACGAGUGGAGAUUGGGUAGGGUCUCAGGAACCACUACUGAUAAAGACGGACUAGUGAGAAGAGUUAAGGUCUGCCUUGGGGACAGGAAGCUUGGCAUAAGGGGGGAGCUUCUCCAUAAGAUGUCCGAAGUCGAGCGCCCAGUCCAGAAGCUAGUCUUGCUGCUGGAAACGAGCUAAAUCUGCUCUCUCUCUCUUUCGGUCACCAUAGACUCUCCUCAUAACUCGUAGUCUUAAAUAGUUUUUAAUGGUUUUCUACUUGUGACAUAAGCUAUCUGUGUUUUAUAUAGGAAAUGUCAUUUUCAGUUUAAAAUCAUUCGUUCUUAAUGUGAACUGUAUACCGUUCCAUUAUUCCCUCAUGAUUGGUGGGAGUGUAAAGGAUUCCUAUAAAAGUCUGAGUGAAGUAGCAACUUCCUGUGAGACUUUUAUUUUGAAGCCCUCAUUAAGCGGAAGUAGGUAUCGCACUUCUAUAAGACCACUUGAUGGUCGAAAGUAGACAGGUAUAUCUCCGGUACACUGCUCUAAAACUAAGGCUGGAAAAGGUGUAAUUAAAACCAACAUUGCUCGACAAUAGAAGGUGUAUGGUGAUAUUGAAGCACCUAGCUGGACCGGGAACAAGCUCUUACGGUGUUUAAAGGAGAAAAGGUGUAAGGACGGAAGAGCGAUUUGUGUUAAAAUAAGGAUCAAGGCUGAACAUAAAUAAAGACUCUUGAAAACAUCAGUAAGCUUCACCAUUUGUCUGGCUGGGGUUCGCUACACCUCUGCUCUUGCUCAUUCUGAAGAACUGCAGUGGGUCGGUAAUGAGAAUUUGGGGAAACCUCCCCUGGCCUCCCAUCAUCGGUGAACUGGGAUGUUGUCAGAACGCACAGAGGGUGACCUUUAACUGCUGUUCCGACUGUAAACUGCCCUCACCCUCAACUGGUAAAAAUAAUUUCC